RNAcentral lists this ribosomal RNA (253 nucleotides) under uncultured bacterium. RNAcentral describes it as "partial 16S ribosomal RNA". It matches the Rfam family "Bacterial small subunit ribosomal RNA", at positions 524 to 776 of the family's 1533-position model. The record is from RNAcentral.
GACGUAGGGCGCGAGCGUUGUCCGGAAUUACUGGGCGUAAAGCGUGCGCAGGCGGUUGUGUAAGACAGGUGUGAAAUCCCCGGGCUUAACCUGGGAAUUGCAUUUGUGACUGCACGGCUAGAGUUUGGCAGAGGGGGGUAGAAUUCCACGUGUAGCAGUGAAAUGCGUAGAUAUCUGGAGGAACACCGGUGGCGAAGGCGGCAUUCUGGACCAUUACUGACGCUGAGGAGCGAAAGCCAGGGGAGCAAACGGG